AACGAACGCUGGCGGCAGGCCUCAAACAAUGCAAGUCUAAGGGGGGUGCAGCAAUGCAUCACCGGGCGGACGGGUGCGUAACGCGUGGGAAUAUACCCUUUUGGUUCGGAACAACUGCGGGAAACUGCAGCUAAAUACCGAAUGUGCCCUAAACGGGGAAAGAUUUAUCGCCGAAAAGGAUUAAGCCCGCGUAGGAUUAGCUAGUUGGUGAGGUAAUGGCUCACCAAGGCUCCGAUCCUUAGCUGCCUGAGAGGAAGAUCAGCCACACUGGGACUGAGACACGGCCCAGACUCCUACGGGAGGCAGCAGUUGGGAAUCUUGGACAAUGGGGGAAACCCUGAUCCAGCCAUGCCGCGUGAGGGAUGAAGUAUUUCGGUA
Molecule: ribosomal RNA, 378 nt
Filed under: uncultured bacterium
Lineage: Bacteria
Description: bacterial SSU rRNA
Rfam family: Bacterial small subunit ribosomal RNA
Source: RNAcentral